This 498-nucleotide ribosomal RNA is filed under the name uncultured bacterium. Its description in RNAcentral is "bacterial SSU rRNA". It matches the Rfam family "Bacterial small subunit ribosomal RNA", at positions 28 to 518 of the family's 1533-position model. The record is from RNAcentral.
GACGAACGCUGGCGGCGUGGAUUAGGCAUGCAAGUCGAACGGUAUCAUCCUUUCGGGGGUGAGAGAGUGGCGAACUGGUGAGUAACACGUAGGUUAUCUACCCUCAAGACGGGGACAACCCAGGGAAACUUGGGCUAAUACCGGAUGUGAGCAACUUUUAGUUGUUUGAAAGGUGGCGUAAGCUGUCGCUUGGGGAUGAGCCUGCGUCCUAUUAGUUAGUUGGUGAGGUAACGGCUCACCUAGGCAAUGAUAGGUAGGCGGCCUUAACGGGUGGUCGCCCACACUGGGAUUGAGAUACGGCCCAGACUCCUACGGGAGGCAGCAGUCGAGAAUAGUCUACAAUGGUCGGAAGACUGAUAGUGCGACGCCGCGUGAACGAUGAAUCCCUUCGGGGUGUAAAGUUCUUUUAUAUGUGAGCAGUGCUUUCUAUGUGAACAGCAUGGGGAGAGAGAUAUUAGCAUAUGAAUAAGCAACGGCUAACUCCGUGCCAGCAGCCGC